GACAGAGGUGCCGAGCGUUAGGCGGAAUCACUGGGCUUAAAGCGUGUGUAGGCGGACCCAUAAGUACCUUGUGAAAUCCCACGGCUCAACCGUGGAACUGCUGGGUAUACUGCGGGUCUUGAGCAACCUAGGGGCAGACGGAACAAGUGGUGGAGCGGUGAAAUGCGUAGAUAUCACUUGGAACGCCGACGGUGAAAACAGUCUGCUGGGGGUUUGCUGACGCUGAGACACGAAAGCCAGGGGAGCGAACGGG
RNAcentral lists this ribosomal RNA (253 nucleotides) under uncultured bacterium. Its description in RNAcentral is "partial 16S ribosomal RNA". It matches the Rfam family "Bacterial small subunit ribosomal RNA", at positions 524 to 776 of the family's 1533-position model. The record is from RNAcentral.